Podarcis lilfordi (Lilford's wall lizard) is the source of this 77-nucleotide non-coding RNA. The record is from the annotation of a GenBank genome assembly. NCBI's taxonomy places the organism in Eukaryota, Metazoa, Chordata, Lepidosauria, Squamata, Lacertidae.
UCUUUCAUGGAUAGCUCAGUUGGCUAGAGUGUGGUGCUGAUAAUGCUGAGAUUGCAGGUUCGAUCCCCCGGAAGGAG